RNAcentral lists this ribosomal RNA (610 nucleotides) under Gonioinfradens paucidentatus. Its description in RNAcentral is "partial 16S ribosomal RNA". It matches the Rfam family "Archaeal large subunit ribosomal RNA", at positions 1945 to 2801 of the family's 2987-position model. Lineage: Eukaryota; Metazoa; Arthropoda; Malacostraca; Decapoda; Portunidae. The record is from RNAcentral.
UCUAGCCUGCUCACUGAUAUAAAUUAUUAAAUAGCCGCGGUAUCUUGACCGUGCAAAGGUAGCAUAAUCAUUAGUUUCUUAAUUGGAAACUCGUAUGAAUGGUUGGACAAAGAAGUGACUGUCUCUUUUAUUAAAGUUGAAUUUAACUUCUAAGUGAAAAGGCUUAGAUUUCCUAGAGGGACGAUAAGACCCUAUAAAGCUUUAUAAAUAUAAGGAUUUUAUAUAUUUUUAUAUAAUGAUAAUUUCUAAACGUUUAUUUGGUUGGGGCGACAAUGGUAUAAUUAAAAUAACUGCUAUAAAUUAUUACAGGAAUAUAUGAAUAAGAUGUGAAAUUGAUCCUUUAUAAGGAUUUUAAGAUCAAGUUACUUUAGGGAUAACAGCGUUAUUUUUUCUGAGAGUUCUUAUCAAAGAAAAAGUUUGCGACCUCGAUGUUGAAUUAAAUUGUCUUUAUAGUGCAGCAGCUAUAAGAGAAGGUCUGUUCGACCUUUAAAAUUUUACAUGAUUUGAGUUCAGACCGGCGAAAGCCAGGUCGGUUUCUAUCUUCUAGUAAAUAAUUAGAAUACUUUAGUACGAAAGGAUUAAGUAGUCAGAAUUUUUUUAGGCUUGAAAU